RNAcentral lists this non-coding RNA (100 nucleotides) under Oreochromis niloticus (Nile tilapia). RNAcentral's name for it is "Eukaryotic large subunit ribosomal RNA". It matches the Rfam family "Eukaryotic large subunit ribosomal RNA", at positions 2881 to 2984 of the family's 3401-position model. Lineage: Eukaryota; Metazoa; Chordata; Actinopteri; Cichliformes; Cichlidae. RNAcentral also lists the same sequence under 2 other names. The record is from Rfam by way of RNAcentral.
AUUUAAGCUUUAUUGUUGUGAAGCAGAAUUCAUCAAGCGUUGGAUUGUUCACUUAAUAAGGAGGUACGUGAGCUGGGAUCAGACUGUCGUGGGACAGGUU